This 232-nucleotide ribosomal RNA is filed under the name uncultured bacterium. RNAcentral's name for it is "partial 16S ribosomal RNA". It matches the Rfam family "Bacterial small subunit ribosomal RNA", at positions 118 to 351 of the family's 1533-position model. The record is from RNAcentral.
UGGGAACCUUCCCUUAACUCUGGGAUAAGCCUGGGAAACUGGGUCUAAUACCGAAUACACCUCAUGGACUGCAUGGUUUGUGGGGGAAAGCUUUUGCGGUGUGGGAUGGGCCCGCGGCCUAUCAGCUUGUUGGUGGGGUGAUGGCCUACCAAGGCGACGACGGGUAGCCGGCCUGAGAGGGUGUCCGGCCACACUGGGACUGAGACACGGCCCAGACUCCUACGGGAGGCAG